CAUGUUUAUAAUUAUGAGCAAAUCACAUUUCGAUGUAGAAUUCAACCCUCAUAAUUACAAAACUUCACUAAAAAGACAUCUAUUGUUGAACUCUGAAGACAUAACUGAAGUUUGUUUCUACUGUGAUAGGCAUUCUGGAAAACACCACCUCAGAUGGAAGAUGAAUGGUGUCCAAUAGGUGGCAUUUUUAUUCUGCUGUUGUUGGAUGGCACUGAAUUGUCUUC
This is a non-coding RNA of Cinara cedri, 224 nucleotides long. The record is from the annotation of a GenBank genome assembly. NCBI's taxonomy places the organism in Eukaryota, Metazoa, Arthropoda, Insecta, Hemiptera, Aphididae.